RNAcentral lists this ribosomal RNA (430 nucleotides) under uncultured bacterium. Its description in RNAcentral is "bacterial SSU rRNA". It matches the Rfam family "Bacterial small subunit ribosomal RNA", at positions 355 to 776 of the family's 1533-position model. The record is from RNAcentral.
UCGGGAAUUUUGGGCAAUGGGCGAAAGCCUGACCCAGCAACGCCGCGUGAGGGAUGAAGGCCCUCGGGUCGUAAACCUCUGUCGGGAGGGAAGAAUGGGCCGCAGUCGAAUAGGCUGCGGUCUUGACGGUACCUCCAAAGGAAGUGCCGGCUAACUCCGUGCCAGCAGCCGCGGUAAUACGGAGGGCACAAGCGUUGUUCGGAAUCAUUGGGCGUAAAGCGGGUGUAGGCGGCUUGGCAAGUCGAGUGUGAAAUCCCAGGGCCCAACCCUGGAACUGCAUUCGAAACUGUCUCGCUAGAGUCCCGGAGAGGAUGGCGGAAUUCCCGGUGUAGGGGUGAAAUCCGUAGAUAUCGGGAGGAACACCAGUGGCGAAGGCGGCCAUCUGGACGGUGACUGACGCUCAGACCCGAAAGCGUGGGGAGCAAACAGG